ACCUUUCCAUUCUUUCUUGCAGGGAAUACUUUUUCUUCACCUCUCCAGUCCAGCCAGCCCCAUCUGGGUAUUUUCAAGUCAAUGUCCUUUGGAAAACGUGGCACUUGAGACAAAAGCCAGCUCUCCAGAUGUGACCUGACUUGACAAAGUGCAGUAGGGCUCUCCCCCCUUAAUCCCGCCCCACUUCUUCUCUUGCUGCAGAAGGGUGUUAGCACUCUCAGUGGUCCCAGAUUCUUUUGAUCAUGCCUUUGCCUGCCCCAGACCUACUUACCAUCUCUAAGCCCUUCCACUAUUUAGUUUCUCUCUAGUUUCAUUCAUGUCUUCUUUUGUUACACUGUUGGCUUUUGUCCUUCUAUCAGACAAAACUGCCUGGCUUUCAGGUAAGUGGAAGUUCCCAUAUACCUCUGACUUAAUCAGUCAUGUGACCAACACUUGCUUCUGCUUCACUUUUUAAAAACUUGCUGACCUCUGGCAGUCGUUACUUCCCUCAAACCAUCAUUUUCUCUUUCUAUAUACUAUAGGAGGACUCGUUCCUUUUUCAGGUCUUAUUUCAAGUCCACGUUCUCUGAAAACCCUCUAGACCAUGCUUUUCUAGCUCCUGUGUGUGCGUGUGCAUGCUCAGUCACUCAGUCAUGUCUGAGUCUUUGUGACCCCCUGGACUGUAGCCUGCCAGGCUCCUCUGUCCAUGGGACCUUCCAGGCAGGAAUACUGGAGUACCUUGCUAUUUCCUUCUCCAGGGGAUCUUCCCAAUGCAGGGAUCGAACCUGCGUCUCCUAUGUCUCCUGCUUUAGCAAGUAGGUGGAUUCUUUACCACUUUACUGAGCCUCCUGGGAAGCACUCCUUUUCAAAGGGUCUCUCAUUGGCUGAUCCUCAAAUAGGAGCCAGAGGCUCAAGGAUCCUGGCCUUAUCCUCCUGGUGCCCGACGCAAGACAGAGAAGAGUAGAGAAUGGAUUUUGGGGUGAAAUUAAUGUUUGUCCCUCCAAGGUCACUUUUGGGUCUGUGAAUUCAGGUUUAUAUUCAUUCUUCUGUUAGUUUUAUUUGCCCCCUUUCACAUGCUGAGCACAUACGUAGUAAUAACAGCUGUAAUCACUGUUGAGAUAGACAGCAGUUGGCUAUUGAUUUUGAGAGAACAGCAGGUAGCCAAUGGCCAUGGAUGUGCAAAACUUUGUUUCUAAAUGCACAGACUGAAAGAAAAUGUGCAAAAAAGCAGAUUCAAUUUCAAACCACAUUGUCAGAGUAAUUUCAUCUGAGUCAGUGAGAACCUGACAUGUGAAUAUGACAAGGAGGGUGUGGGGCCCAUGACCCAUCGCUAUUUCUCAUGCCUCUUCUACUUCUUUGACGUUCGAGAAAUGCUUUAGGCAUCGGAUCAGCAAGAAUUUGGUGCCAGCCAGGAACUAGAAUGAAUGGAACGUGGCCCAGCUAAAGAAUUAAGAAUUCCACUCCACAGCGCUUCAUCUUCAUCCCUGCUUAGCUCCUAGAUGCAGCCUAAAUCCUCCCAGCUUCUUCCCUCUUAUCUAACUGCACUGUGGUUAUUAAGCAAGUUGUGGAUCUAUUCCACAUCCUCUUCAAUGUCAGUACUUUGAAAACUACACAAUAUAAGCCUUAAUGAAGAUGGCAUGCCUCAGAAUGACUUAGAACUGAAAAUAUGACUACAUCAGAAGUCUUUAGAAGGCAAGAUUUUAAUGGCUGAAUAAUAUGCUGGAACAGAGGAGUAAUUUCUUCUCGAAUGCUAGGAUGAAUUAUUUAUGCUUUGACAAUAUUAUGUGUCUCUAAAGCAGCUUUUAGUUAUUCGCCACUUCUGGCUACAGCUGAUCCUGCUGCCCAUUCUUGUAAUUACAUUAACCUCUUGACUUUACAUGACAAGCUUUUCCUGUGUGCUGCGAUCAAUAGCCUAUAACUACACCUCUUUAAUAAGGCCAUAGUUAUACUUUGGUUCAGAUAUAAUUAACUUUUGUCCCCAUUUUCUUUUUGGUGGGGUAUGGAAUAAAACGUCUUACUUUAACA
Long non-coding RNA from Bos indicus x Bos taurus (hybrid cattle), 2004 nucleotides. NCBI's taxonomy places the organism in Eukaryota, Metazoa, Chordata, Mammalia, Artiodactyla, Bovidae. The record is from Ensembl.